CAGCCGCCGCGGUAAAACCAGCACCUCGAGUGGUCAGGAGGUUUAUUGGGCCUAAAGCAUCCGUAGCCGGUUGCAUAAGUUUUCGGUUAAAUCUAUGCGCUUAACGUAUAGGCCGCCGAAAAUACUGUGCAGCUAGGGAGUGGGAGAGGUACACGGUACUCGAUAGGAAGGGGUAAAAUCCUUUGAUCUAUUGAUGACCACCUGUGGCGAAGGCGGUGUACCAGAACACGUUCGACGGUGAGGGAUGAAAGCUGGGGGAGCAAACCGGAUUAGAUACCCGCGUAGUCCCUGUCUCUUAUAC
Molecule: ribosomal RNA, 301 nt
Filed under: uncultured bacterium
Lineage: Bacteria
Description: partial 16S ribosomal RNA
Rfam family: Archaeal small subunit ribosomal RNA
Source: RNAcentral